Molecule: non-coding RNA, 71 nt
Organism: Aedes aegypti (yellow fever mosquito)
Lineage: Eukaryota; Metazoa; Arthropoda; Insecta; Diptera; Culicidae
Source: Rfam
GGCUCGAUAGCUCAGUUGAUAAAGCGCUCGUCUGGCAUACAAGAGUCCUGGAUUCGAAUUCCAGCGAAUUG